CCUUGCUCUCCAUAACGUUGUACCCUAUAUAUCGAUAUACAAGUGAUUAAAUAACAAAAUAAAGGAGGUAUAGUCAGUGGUAAUUGAGUCUGAUAAUAAUUUGAUCGCAAAAACGAUUUUAGGAAUUUUCUGGCUCGAUCUUUAUUUUUAUCUAAUAAACACAAUAUAAUGAAAUAACGGAACAAAAAUAAAAUCGAAGAAGGAAAUAUUCCGUUGUCUUCUUCGGUCUCGCGUCUACGAUGAAACCGACAAAUAUAGAGCGAAGAAUAUAGAAAGCGAUUGCAUCAUUUUCCCCGCAUAUAAAUUACUCAAUGUCCGCUUUCAAUUCGAUGCUAAGCUGCCAUUUGUAAGAGAACAGCGCAGUAGAGCGCAAAAUCCUCGCUAGUUUCGUCAGCUCAAUUUAGCAAAUUGAUCAGGAUGAUAAAACGCCUGCAGGAAUCAAAUAUCGAUCGAGAAUUUACUUCGUUGACGUCUAAUGUUUAUUCUAUGAUCUUUUAUCGUACUCUUUAUCUAAUGUGCGUGGCUGAAGUGCUGAUGCCUUCGCUAUUUAAUGCCACAGACCCAAUGCUGCUGCUGUCCUCGUCCUCGAACUCAGCUUGUUUAUACCUCGUCAUCUGAAAGAAUUUUAAUACGUAAGUCUACAAUGUAAUCGAAUAUUUUUCCGUCCUACACGAAAUGAAUAUUCGACAAUGCAACCAUGUAAAACUAACUUUCGUAAAAUGUGAUUGUAUAGAACUAAACUACCGCGUAAAUUACUUUCUCAAUUACUCGUUCUUUGAAUACGGAAUAAGGAUGCUGGUCUAUGUAAACAAAACAAGAAGAGAAAAGAAAAGAGAAAUGAAAUGAAGAUACUUGAAACUCGAUGGAAAAACUCUAAUUAUACAAAAAAUACGAUAGUAUAAGUCUUGCAAAGCUUUUGUUUUUCUUCGUCGAUGACGAUCGCAGAUCCUGUAAACAAAGAUAAGCUCAAAACUCGCUGUUCUAUCUUAAAAUAGGACGGUCGUUACUAGAACGAAUAUCUUUGCGAUUUCUCGAUACCCAUACUAAUAUAAACUCGAAACGAAACGCUUUGCCGAGUAAAAAUAGAAAAAAAAAAAAAAAUGAGAAAUACAAUUCAAUCGUUUUGUAAGUAAACAUUACUUCUUUGUUAAUUCCGCUCGGUAAAUUUGCCUGCAAUAAAUUCGUGACAACAGAAUGGUGAAAUAAAAAAACACACGCACACAUAGGACAACAAAAAUAAAAGAGAAAAAAGUGAAACGUAAAAUCGAAUUGUUUUUCCAUACAAAAAUUAUUACUGAAAUCAAAAUAAAUUUAUUUCAAAUUCGUUUCUCUAAUUUCAUACGAAUGUUCGUAAGCUCUUCGAAAAACACAGAUCGAAAACUCCCAAAGGAAGAUGCCAGUAAUGUAAUAAAACCACAUACGGCGUUCGUUAUUUUGGCAGUUCACGAAAACGCCAAAUUUACAGCGACUUGUUCUAAUUUAGACGCAGUCUAAAUAUAUAAACCUCUAUAUCUGCUGUAACAUGUACGAGCUCGGAAUACUCGAUAGUGGCAGGUCGUACUUUUCAGUAUUGUUGAAAUAUUAUAUUACAUAUCUUGGUUCAUCAUCGAACCUGUUAAAGUUCAAAUCGAAUACCAAUUCGAUUGUGCGGUUUUUUGUCUCAUUUCAUCCGACCAAUUGAAAAAUACACACACACACACACACACACACACAGAGGAAUGCGCGCGCGCGCACUCACACAUAUGCAUACAAAUAUUGCCCUUGUUAUUUCGGAUAAUUGCACGAGUUACGCGUUUCAAUCGCUCGAAAAAUGAUCCCUGUUUUUCAUAUAUACAAAAAGAGUUGACAAAUAUGUAUUUAUGUUUACGUAUAUGUAUGUGUGUAUGCUUAUAAUAUCGGAAGAUUGCGAUUUAUGACGUUUCAUUGGUUCGAUUUUCCAAGAAAUCUAUUUCAUUUUGUUAAGUAAAUAUUGCAAAAAUGAUUUCGUAAUGGAUGGUUCCCAGUAAAAUAGAGAAAAAAGAGAUGUCACUGAGAUAAAAAUAAUUGCUAAAACCAAUUUUGCAUUAGACGUGAUAGUGUUCUACGAUGUGCUUGGUUGAAUAAUAUGCUUGACAUUAAUGCCUGAUCGUUGACUAAACAAACAAGCGAGCCAUGACACAGUUCCAUGUGUUGCGAAUAGUCCAUAUGAUUUGAAAAAAUAAUCAGACAGAUGCAAUGUCCCGCAAGCAAAGUAACAUGUUUACAUUGAAUAUAUGUAUAUACUUAUUUACGUAUCUGAGUAUGUAAAAAUGUACUCUAAUUUUUCAUUCCAUUGGUCUAAACAUACGCUUUUUACCUAACUUUUUACUCUCUCUAUUUUCAUUUUCAUGAUCCCGUACAACUAUUUACCUAAGAAAUGAGCGAGUACAAUCCCCUUAAUACCUAACUUUUAUUUUAAUUUUAAACGUGUUAUCUCGAAGCACCGCGAUAUGUUUAAUUUUGCAAAGACUCAUUCGUACGAUCGAUACGCAAUCUCGUUAUCGCCCGUUGUCCAUGGAUACCUAGAUUCGUGAUAGUCGUAAAAAUGGAAAGCAUAUAAAAAUGAUAUCGAGUGAUAUCAAGUACUAAUAGCAUAGAAAAACAAUAUUGAUGCUAAUGAAUACAGCAGUGCAUAAAUAAUUGCAUUACUUUAUCUUAUCGUUCUUAUUAUAAAUAUUAUUCUUAUCGAGAUCUCUAAAUAGAAGACAAAAUUUGUAUUCUUUACAUUACUCGACUUCUCUAAAUAAAUGUAUGUAAAUUUGUUAUAUAAUAAUAACAAUAUAUAUGUAUAACAUAAUGUGUUACAUACAUAUAACAUAACAACAAUAACAAUAAUAAUAAUGAUGAAUGAUGAACAUUCUAAUCAUAUAAAAUAUUAUUCCAAAUAAAAUAUGAUUCAUUUACUGUCAAAGAUUUCAAGCAAUUUUGUUAUUCUCAAUUUUUUGUAAAAAAAAAAACAAAUCCUUUAUAAAUUCAAUUAAUGAUAUUUGGAUGAAUGUGAGCUAUAAUUUCUUUUUAUUGUCCGUACGCUUUUACAUUCCUAAGUCCUUAGAAUUCCUUUUAGUUUAUUUAUUUAGUUUUAAUAAUCAUUUGUCAUAACAAAUAUUAACUUCAAUAAGGAAUCUGCGAUUGACGACUGAAUUUAAAUUCGAAGCUGCCGUUUCGAAAAAUACUUCAUUAUAUGUACGAAUGACUCCAUUCGUUCUCGCGAAAAGAAACCUUCAGUUCGUGUUAUAUAUAAAUAUUAUAAAAUAAAAAAGAACAACUGAUGAAGAA
Long non-coding RNA from Vespula pensylvanica (western yellowjacket), 3294 nucleotides. RefSeq lists it as uncharacterized. Lineage: Eukaryota; Metazoa; Arthropoda; Insecta; Hymenoptera; Vespidae. The transcript is spliced from 2 exons. The record is from RefSeq and is a predicted model, not a curated record.